UAGGGAAUCUUCGGCAAUGGGGGGAACCCUGACCGAGCAACGCCGCGUGAGUGAAGAAGGUUUUCGGAUCGUAAAGCUCUGUUGUUAAGGAAGAACGAGUGUGAGAAUGGAAAGUUCAUGCUGUGACGGUACUUAACCAGAAAGGGACGGCUAACUACGUGCCAGCAGCCGCGGUAAUACGUAGGUCCUGAGCGUUGUUCGGAUUUAUUGGGCGUAAAGCGAGCGCAGGCGGUUAGAAAAGUCUGAAGUGAAAGGCAGUGGCUCAACCAUUGUAAGCUUUGGAAACUGUUUAACUUGAGUGCAGAAGGGGAGAGUGGAAUUCCAUGUGUAGCGGUGAAAUGCGUAGAUAUAUGGGGAAACACCGGUGGCGAAAGCGGCUCUCUGGUCUGUAACUGACGCUGAGGAUCGAAAGCGUGGGGGGCGAACAGG
RNAcentral lists this ribosomal RNA (429 nucleotides) under Bacteroidota bacterium. RNAcentral's name for it is "Bacteroidetes bacterium partial 16S ribosomal RNA". It matches the Rfam family "Bacterial small subunit ribosomal RNA", at positions 355 to 776 of the family's 1533-position model. Lineage: Bacteria; Pseudomonadati; Bacteroidota. The record is from RNAcentral.